This 429-nucleotide ribosomal RNA is filed under the name uncultured bacterium. Its description in RNAcentral is "bacterial SSU rRNA". It matches the Rfam family "Bacterial small subunit ribosomal RNA", at positions 355 to 796 of the family's 1533-position model. The record is from RNAcentral.
UGGGGAAUAUUGCGCAAUGGGCGAAAGCCUGACGCAGCGACGCCGCGUGAGGGACGAAGGCCUUCGGGUCGUAAACCUCUUUCAGUAGGGACGAAGCGAAAGUGACUGUACCUACAGAAGAAGCACCGGCUAACUACGUGCCAGCAGCCGCGGUAAUACGUAGGGUGCAAGCGUUGUCCGGAAUUAUUGGGCGUAAAGAGCUCGUAGGUGGUCCGUUACGUCUGCUGUGAAAACUCGGGGCUCAACCCCGAGCCUGCAGUGGAUACGGGCGGGCUAGAGUGCGGUAGGGGAGACUGGAAUUCCUGGUGUAGCGGUGAAAUGCGCAGAUAUCAGGAGGAACACCGGUGGCGAAGGCGGGUCUCUGGACCGAUACUGACACUGAGGAGCGAAAGCGUGGGGAGCGAACAGGAUUAGAUACCCCCGUAGUCC